This 1238-nucleotide long non-coding RNA is filed under the name Sus scrofa (pig). RNAcentral's name for it is "lncRNA (ENSSSCG00070002497.1)". The record is from RNAcentral. Lineage: Eukaryota; Metazoa; Chordata; Mammalia; Artiodactyla; Suidae.
ACUGAUUUGUCAAUGAGUAUUUCUCCUUCAGUAUUUCUCAACCAUCGUGUUUUUGAAGGAUUAUCUAUUUAUUCAGAUAAUUGCCUCAAGUCAUCAACUCACAUUAACUGUGAGCAUCUUUGCCUUCUCUCUGCAACUAAGAGGAAAUUAAAAGCUGUUAAAAUGAAAAGGGAAUUAGAUGUUCAGUAAACUUGUAAUUUCGGGAUUUCCCAUUGUAGCUUAACAGGUUAAGAACCCAACUAGUAUCCAUGAGGAUGCAGGUCGAUCCCAGUCCUCACUCAUUGGGUUAAGGUCUGGGAUUGCCACAAUCUGAGGUGUAGGUCUCAGAUAUGGUUUACAUCCAGCAUGGCUGUGACUGUGGUGUAGGCUGGCAACUGCAGUUCCAAUUUGACCCCUAGCCUGGGAACUUCCCUAUGCCACAGGCGAGGCCCUAAAAAAACCCCAACAAAAAACAAAAAAACAUGUAGUUCCACUGGCAUACAUGUCUGAGAAGCCAACCCAAGCCAAAAGAACUGCCCAAGGCAGGCAACCCAAAUUAUCCAACAGUAAGAUUAGGAAAUAAGUAAAUGGUGGUUACUUUAAGCCCUUAUUUGUGAAGUGGUUUCUUACUCUGUAAAAGCUAACCGCUGCAAGACUUAAAUUUACCUUGUCGAUUUCAGACCCUAAAAAUUCAAAUACAUGUCUGAUCAGUUCAAAUGCCUGGAGGCAAAUGAAAUUCUUACAGUAUCUUAAUUUGUACAAAUAAGAAGCAAAUGAGAAAAAGUGUAACAACAAAAGAAUAAUGAUACAGUAUCUGGAUUUUUACCUUGCAUUUUUUCCCCUGCCACAUCUAUGGCAUGUGGAAAUUCCUGGGCCAGAGACUGAACCCCACAGUGGUGACCCCAAUGACUGCAGUAAAAAUGCUGGAUCCUUAACCUGCUGCACCUUAAGGGAACUCCCCAUUUUACUAAAGUUAGAAAUAAGGGUUAACUACAUAUAAAAUUAAAGGAGGAUGACAGUGAAUCUGGAUGGAAAUAUUACAAAGCCAAAUCCCAUUUUUACACUGCACCUAGUUUAGAAAAACAGAAUUAUGGUCACAAAACCCAGCAGUUAUUAAAAGAAGAUGGAGACAUUUUAAAGCAGUAACAAUCAAGAAAGAACAUUACAUAAGUUAAUUGAAAUUAUCAUCACGUAACUUUCUUAGGGAAGAACUUUGACGGAUUAAUAAAGAGCUACUUGUUUUUAGUAAGAAAAAUAUG